This 58-nucleotide transfer RNA is filed under the name Dipodomys ordii (Ord's kangaroo rat). It matches the Rfam family "tRNA", at positions 8 to 63 of the family's 71-position model. From Rfam's summary of the family: Transfer RNA (tRNA) molecules are approximately 80 nucleotides in length. Their secondary structure includes four short double-helical elements and three loops (D, anti-codon, and T loops). The record is from Rfam by way of RNAcentral. Lineage: Eukaryota; Metazoa; Chordata; Mammalia; Rodentia; Heteromyidae.
UGGCUCAGUGGUAGAGUGCUUGCCUCGUAUGCAUGAGGCCCUGAGUUCGAUUCCUCAG